This 507-nucleotide ribosomal RNA is filed under the name uncultured bacterium. Its description in RNAcentral is "partial 16S ribosomal RNA". It matches the Rfam family "Bacterial small subunit ribosomal RNA", at positions 28 to 507 of the family's 1533-position model. The record is from RNAcentral.
GACGAACGCUGGCGGCGUGCCUAAUACAUGCAAGUCGAACGCAUUUUCUUUCACCGUAGCUUGCUACACCGAAAGAAAAUGAGUGGCGAACGGGUGAUUAACACGUGUGUAACCUGCCCAUCAGCGGGGGAUAACACUUGGAAACAGGUGCUAAUACCGCAUAAUUCCAUUUACCGCAUGGUAGAUGGAUGAAAGGCGCUUUUGCGUCACUGAUGGAUGGACCCGCGGUGCAUUAGCUAGUUGGUGGGGUAACGGCCUACCAAGGCUGCGAUGCAUAGCCGAACUGAGAGGGUGGUCGGCCACACUGGGACUGAGACAAGGCCCAGAGUCCUACGGGAGGCAGCAGUAGGGAAUCUUCGGCAAUGGACACAAGUCUGACCGAGAAACGCCGCGUGAGUGAAGAAGGUUGUCGGAUCGUAAAACUCUGUUGUUAGAGAAGAACAAGGAUGAGAGUGGAAAGUUCAUCCCUUGACGGUAGCUAACCAGAAAGCAACGGCUAACUACGUG